RNAcentral lists this long non-coding RNA (6250 nucleotides) under Carica papaya (papaya). RNAcentral describes it as "long non-coding RNA (CPAP_LNC004889)". The record is from RNAcentral. Lineage: Eukaryota; Viridiplantae; Streptophyta; Magnoliopsida; Brassicales; Caricaceae.
GAAGUCUUUAAAGGCUACUAUAUUUUCAGUUUUUCUUUCUUUUUUGAAAUCCAAUAGAAUUGGAAAGAACUGUGUUUUAUAUUUAAUUGACUUGAAAUUCAUUAGUGAUUGGAGGAAAUUAUAUUCAGUACUUUAUUAUCCAUGUAAGGCUAAUAAGAAUUUGAAGUGCUUAAGACUUAAAGUAGUACUCCAAGCUGCCGAUGUACCUUCUUUCUGAGGAUCAAUUAUACGUAAUUCUACUCGAUCCGCAAAUUCUAAUAAAAGAUUGAAAUGUUUAAUUUUGACUGAACUUGAUGUCGUACGCCGAGCUGCCUACGUACCUUCUUUUUGAACAUCCAGUCACACGUAGUUCUACUCUAUCCAUUUCAUUUUCUAUAAGACUUUGAUAAAGCACUAGAUUUCUUCGGCACAUGUAAGUAAAGCAAAGUAUGACAGUUCAAGAGAUAAUGGAAUAAGAAUUACUAUUGAGAGUUAGAAGAAACGAAGAGUUCGAGAGAUGAUGGCUAAAAAGGAAACUAGGAAUGAUGAUUCACUUGAGUUAGCCCAUAUCAUAACCUUCAGCACCAUAAAGACUAGCUAGUCAAGUCACUUCUGAUCUAAAAUCUAUCUGAGAAAAUAGAGGUCAAAAAUUUGUUAGGAUAAGAUAUGGUCAAAAAACACCUAACCAAGAUUUGGCGAGAUCUGUAUUGAGUUAGUUUGCCAGGUGUUUUGCCUAUAAAUGCAUCGCUUGCUCCUACGGAUACAUAAGUUAUGCAGUAUAUGAUUGGCAAAUGCAUCAAUUGAUAGUUAUGAACAGUAAACUAAAUCAAAGGAACCAAAUCACAGGUUUUACUGCACAAAAUAGCAAACGCAAGGAACUUAAUAAAAGAAGCAAAAGUUGAAUCUUUACAUGUCCUUUACUCAUCCCUGUCACUCGUCGUGCGUAAAAGAAACCAUACAAUAUGCAAUAAGUUCUUUUCCUAUAGAAAAAAUAAUAUCUAAGAGAAAAUGAGAACAUACGAAAAAGAGAAGGAAAUUAGACACACUCCCAGAGAAAGGAAAAAAGAAACAAAUUAAAAAAAUGAGACCAACUAACACCCCUAACAAGGAAUACCAUCCAAACUGAAUAUGCAAUCAGUGAUCAAUACAUAGGUCAGUAGCCCAAUAACAACAGAUGCUCCAUUCAAUAACUAUGAAAAGAAAAGAGAUUGCUUUACCUUUUCUUGCCAAUAAUUAUGCCCACAUCAUACAGCUUCACUUGUCCCGCCUAAAAGACAACUUCAAUAUGCAACUAUGUGAUUGUGAAACUUGACAAGGUACAGCUUUCUCAUUGACGAACUUCUCGUGUAAACUCAUAUUUAUGACUAUUUUUUUCAUAAAUUUAUAUAAGAAAGGAAAGAGAUGAGGAAGGAAAAAAGGUACAAAGAAAGUUUUCUAUGGAAGCUUGGAUUUAAAGCCACCUAAUGUGACUGUAAAUUUAAUAAUUAUAAACAGGAAACUAAAUUAAAGAACCAAAUCAUAGAACAUACAUACAUACAUACAUAUAUAUAUAUAUAUAUAUAUAUCUGUAAUAAGCGUCACAGGUUUUACAGCACGCAAAUAACAGAGGCAAUGAACUUAGUAAAAGAAGCAAAAGGUAAAUCUUUACCUCUUAUUGGCAAUAGUUCCUUUACUCAUCCCUGUCUUUUGGCCUGCCUAAAAGAGAUCUUACUAAUAUGCAAUAAUUUAUAUUCUUAUGAAAAAAAUAAUAUUAAAUAGAAAAAAAGGAGAAUAUACAAAAAACAUAGAAUUCCAUAGAUCCCGAUUCAUUUAUGAUGCAAUGGUAUAUUACCAAAGAAUGCUAGAGACACGUAAGCUGAAGAGAAAAGCUUGAAUGCAAAAUACAACCCUAUACGUAGCAUACCUACACCAAGAGUUCCAAUCAAAAUACCAAUGACGUGAGCAUCUUUCGCCUUCUCCACCGGGUAACAUCUGCAUGAAUUGUUACUCGCGAAAAUCCAAGAAUGGCAUGUAAGGAAAGAUCAACGGUACAUCAGGUCGAGGAAAGACAGAUGAUUUAACAUGCAAAAAACAGAAUACGAACUUCAGAAAUAGUAAAUAGAGAUGAAGAGAAGCACACAAGGAUGACUGUGCUGGAAAUAAUACCUACACGUAAGAAUCUGUCUAUGUUAAGAAAAAGUCUGCCACCACAUGAUCUUCUGUUGCAUCAUACCUAACCAAAACCAACAAUAGAAUUAAAGACAACAAACCAUAACAUAGGAACAAGAAUAUCGUACCCUGUUUCUUCAAUAUAUAACCUAGUUUAGCAAACUAAUGACGUCUAAUACAUAUCAAGCGAUAAUAAUUUGAUUUUGUGAUCUAUUUUUCCAAAGCAAACCACUCAAAAAAAUAUCUGACCAGAUUGAAGCAACUACAGUUCAAUUCAUGUUGUCGUCGUAUAAAUGUCGGCACAAAAAAUCAUCAUAUUUUUUAAGAAUAUCAAAACUCAAUAUUUCAUGGGUUCUGUUAAGCAGAAAGGAUAAGAUACCAAACACUGUAAAUUAAGCAAUUAGGGGUCGAAUUGCCUGCAGCAGUGAGAACUACGCUCAUGCAACACGUACACACUGUGAAGUAAUUAAAUACAAAAGCUACUUACAGGUUCAUAAUAAAUUGAAGAAAAUUGAUAAUAAAUGGUCAAUUCGAAGUAAAUAGAAAUAAACAGACAUUUCUUUCCCUUUCUCCCAUUCAUUUGCCAGGAAACUGCACAACUUUCUUAUUUGAUCAACCAAUUUUAAGUUUAUCCAAAGAUGUAGACGAGCAACAACGAAUGCGCGAGACCAUAUUUAGGAUUAAUGUUUGAUAUCGUACUAGAUAGUUUACCCACCUAUGUCGCAACCAUUAAAUGUCACUACAACAUUUGCUAAUGCUGAAUUAUCAGAGUCCAUCCAAAAAGCAAGGGUUCCUCCGUAUUGUGCCAUUCAGGUAAAUCCUAGAUCAAGUCUCCGAUGUUAUACAUGGCACUGGUUGGUGGACCGAUACUGUCACUGUUAGCAUGACAACUAAAUGGUCAAGGGAGUCACUGAAAAUUUAAUUAAAUGAUCAUGGGUACUUAAUAUACCUGUUUGCCACUGACCAACCGUCCAUGCAAGGGCGGAUUCAGAGCAAACAAUUCCACCUAUCACUGCAAAUGUCGUUAAAAGAAAGAAGCGAAUAAACGAAGCGAGAAAGAAAGAGACUUUUCUACAAAAGCUCAAAUUCUACCUCAAAUACAAAGAGAUUAUGUAGUAUUCGCAUAGAAAAUACAUCACGCAAACAAUAAAGCAAAGAAAGAAAGAAGGAAAGAAAAGCAAAGCCAAAAAAAAAAAAAGAAAGAAACGUCUUUCUAACAUCUUUCUCCGAGGGAAUCAAACAGUGCAGCGAUGACUUACCAAACGCAUGAAUAACUGCAUAUUUAAAUGAUAAUUUAAGUUUAGAAACAAACAUAGAAAAAAAGCAAAAAACACAAAGAAAGGAAAGAUAAUAAAGAAACUAUUCUAUCAUAUCUCGAAUUCUGCCUCUAGAAUGCUUCCGUCGUUGUUAGUGAGUGCUGCAAUAUCUGUGAAUGUAUACAAGUUAUGUAGUGUACAAUAAAAAAUAAUAACUGCAAAAAACAAAAUGAAUGUUAACAUAUCCUCAACAAUAACUGUGCCAAAUUAUCAAAAGCCACAUCAAUAUUCUAUAAAUGAUCAUAAGUAGUUAAUAUACCUCUUUCCCACUAACCGCCAUCCAUGCAAAGCGCGAAUCCAGAGCAAACAAUCCCAUCUAUCAUUGCAGAUUUAAUUAAAAGAAAGAAACAAAGCUAAGAAGAAAGACGGAAAGGAACUUUUCUACCAAACCUCAGAAUCUACCUCUAAUGCAAGGAGAUUAUACAGAAUAUUCGAAUAGAAAAUCCAUCAUACAAAUAAUGAAACAAAGAAUGAGUGAAAUAGAUAGAAGGAAGGAAAGAAAAGAAAAGCCAGUCUCCUCAGGAAUUAAAUAGUGCAAGAAGAUCAAGUCAUACGUAAUUUUUGUUCGAUUCACAUUCAAUUCUUUAUUAUUCAUGAACUAUAAUAAAAGAUUGAAAUAUUUAAAUCUGACUGGACUUGGAGUAGUACUCAAAGUUGCCUACGUACCUUCUUUUUUAGAAUCAAGUAAUACGUAGUUAUGUUUAAUCCAUGAAGUCCAAUAAAAAAUUUCAAUGCUUCAGUUUUACUGAACUUGAAGUGGUACGCCAAGCGGCCUACGUACAAUCUUUUUGAGAAUUACGUCAUGCAUAAUUAUGCUCAAUCCGCGAAUUCUAAUAAAAAAUUAAAACGAUUAAUUUGACUGAACUUAGUGUAGUACACCAAGCUGCCUACGUACCUUCUUUUUGAGGAUCAAGUCAUACGUAGUUCUACUCCAUCUGUUUCAUUUUUUUGAUAAGAACUCAUAGAUAAUAAAGUAUUGGAUUUCAAGAAAACUUAAAACGAAAUGCACUGCUAUUCAGGUUUGCAGAUUUCGAGAUGAACGAGAAAUUAAAGAUAUAUGACGUUUUUUUAUUUAAAAGAAAAUAAGGGACCUUUCAAAUAGUUAUAUAUUUCAAGUGAAAUGAAAGAUGAAACUCAAUGUCUUUUGCUCAUUUGUGUAAUUUUCGAUUGUUUCAAGAAAGAUUGGGAAAUGAAAUGGAGUAUAUAGCAAUACAAAUGAAGAAUCGAAGACAAUGACUUUUGCUCCACCGGAUAAUUUUUGAAAAAGUUGAAAAAAUCGCUUUCGUAGUACAAGCAGACUUGAAGAGUGGCUUUUGUUGCUUUUUGGGUUUUGAAGGCAAUAAGAAAAUAAAGAGUCGGUACAUUCUUAGCAUAAUUAAGUUUAAAGAUCGACAGAACAAAACUAAGUUACUGUCAAAUGCUAACAAAGUACUGAUUCUUUCCCUUCAAAUUCUAAAAAGCCACAUACAUCAUUGUUGAAGGUUACUUGUGCUGAACAAAGCGAUGUAAUUUUCAUUUCCAACAUUUCCAAAUAUACCCAGUGCAUUCGAAAGUCAUUGGGAUAGAUUUUCUUCAUUUGCCUUUCUGCGAACACUCCAUUCAUUACUCAAUCUUUUUUGUAGUAGUAAAACAUUACACGGGUAAGCGAAACAAGUUAAAUUUCAUCUUUUAUUUUCUUUGAUAUACGGAAGUCUUUAAAGGAUACUAUAUUUUCAGUUUUUAUUUCUUUUUUGAAAUCCAAUAAAACUGGAAAGCACUGUGUUUUAUAUUUAAUUGACUUGAAAUUCAUUAGUGGUUGGAGGAAAUUUUCUUUCUUUUUUGAAAUCCAAUAGAAUUGGAAAGAACUGUGUUUUAUAUUUAAUUGACUUGAAAUUCAUUAGUGAUUGGAGGAAAUUAUAUUCAGUACUUUAUUAUCCAUGUAAGGCUAAUAAGAAUUUGAAGUGCUUAAGACUUAGAGUAGUACUCCAAGUUGCCGAUGUACCUUCUUUCUGAUGAUCAAAUUAUACGUAAUUCUACUCGAUCCGCAAAUUCUAAUAAAAGAUUGAAAUGUUUAAUUUUGACUGAACUUGGUGUCGUACGCCGAGCUGCCUACGUACCUUCUUUUUGAACAUCCAGUCACACGUAGUUCUACUCUAUCCAUUUCAUUUUCUAUAAGACUUUGAUAAAGCACUAGAUUUCUUCGGCACAUGUAAGUAAAGCAAAGUAUGAUAGUUCAAGAGAUAAUGGAAUAAGAAUUACUAUUGAGAGUUAGAAGAAAUUAAGAGUUCGAGAGAUGAUGGCUAAAAAGGAAACUAGGAAUGAUGAUUCACUUGAGUUAGCCCAUAUCAUAACCUUCAGCACCAUAAAGACUAGCUAGUCAAGUCACUUCUGAUCUAAAAUCUAUCUGAGAACAUAGAGGUCAAAAAUUUGUUAGGAUAAGAUAUGGUCAAAAAACACCUAACCAAGAUUUGGCGAGAUCUGUAUUGAGUUAGUUUGCCAGGUGUUUUGCCUAUAAAUGCAUCGCUUGCACGUAAAUAACAGAGGCAGUGAACUUAGUAAAAGAAGCAAUAGAUAAAUCUUUACCUCUGCAAUAGUUCCUUUACUCAUCCCUGUCUUUUGGCCUGCCUAAAAUAGAUCUUACUAAUAUGCAAUAAUUUAUGUUCUUAUGGAAAAAAUAAUAUUAAAUAGAAAAGAAGAAUAUACAAAAAACAUAGAAUUCCAUAGAUCCCGAUUCAUUUAUGAUGCAAUGGUAUAUUACAAAAGAAUGUUAGAGACACAUAAGCUGAAGAGUAAAACUUGAAUGCAAAAUACAACCCUAUACGUAGCAU